Molecule: long non-coding RNA, 8421 nt
Filed under: Ananas comosus (pineapple)
Lineage: Eukaryota; Viridiplantae; Streptophyta; Magnoliopsida; Poales; Bromeliaceae
Description: long non-coding RNA (ACOM_LNC043009)
Source: RNAcentral
UUGGACUUGAUUUUGUGCUUUGGAAAAACCAUUCCCUCGAGGCACUCGACUCAAUUGAUUUUUCUUUUGAUUCUGUGGGGGAUGUCGAGUUGUAGAUGAUGUCGAUUGAGGUUUAGAGAGUGUCGAUCGAAGUGUAGACAUUGCCAAUUGAUUCAUCUUUCCUUUAUUUGGGCAAUUCCUUUUGAUGUGUCCUUUGAUGCCACAAUUAUGACACACCUUGCCAUUUAAAGUUGUUGAGACUUUAGAAGUUGAUUUUGAAUCCUUCUCAACGUAUGUUCUUUUAUAUCCGAGUCCAAGCUUGUUCGUUUGACCCAAUCCGAGCAUAUGAUCUAGUUUCUUUGAUCCGGAUGAAAAUUGUUGAAUGUCGGAUUGAAGUUGACGAACUUGAUUAGUCAAAGCUUGAUUGGAUACACAUGUUUCCUUGAAUUGUUGCUCCAAAAAUCCAAUCUUAUCUUGAGAUGAUUUGAUCAUUGAAUCCGCUUCAUUUAGCUUCUUUUGGAGAUCCAAAUUAUCUUUUAAAUUUGCUUCCCUUUCCUCCUCGAGAGCCUUAUUCAAAGUCUUUAAGUUGUCAUUUUCCUCCUCAAUGCCUAAUAGACGUCACCUCAACUUCUUAUUAUGUUUGGCCAUUUUCUUCGACUCAAUAAGAAGUUGAUUGUACGCUUCCGCUAUGUCGUCAUCAUUUGAUUCCUCCUCACUUUCGCCAUUGUCGCUCGAAGAAUCAUGCAAAGAAAGAGAAAUAUUGGAAUUAGUAGCAAUAGAGGAUAAACAAACAAUGUUAGACGAAGGUAGAGAAGUGUUAGUAAAUAAAGCAAUGUGAUCACUCUUUUCUUCGUCACUUGAAGAUGAUUCACUAGAAGAAGUGUCAUCUCAAGUUUUUGCUUGCAAAGCCUUUUGCUUAUAAGUCUUCUUUGAAGGACAAUCCGUUGCAAUAUGACCAUAGCCUUUGCAUUUGUAACAUUAGAUUUCUCUUUCAAAUUCAUCCUUUUCUUUUGAAAACUUUGCAAGUUUUUUAUCCUUAGACUUUGACGAUGAAGAUGAUUUAGAAAAAGAUUUUUGCUUAGAAGAUGAAGCCUUGUCCGAUCUAUUUUUCCGAAAAUUCUGUCGGAACUUUUUCGUUAGGAGAGCUAAUUGAUGUUCAAAGUCGGCGAGCGAAACAUCUUCGUCGGAAUCCGGAUCGUCUUCUUCUUUCUUUGUUGAUUUGAGUGCAACCCCUGUGCUUUUAGAAAAAGACUUGGAAGAAGAUUGAUUAGUAGGAAAAGUCAUCUCACAAGUUUGCAUAGCACCUACUAGCUCUUCGACUUUCAUCUCGUCCGGAUGCUUAACCGUUUCGAUUGCGGCAACCUUUGCCCGAAAGCGUUCCGGAAGAGUUCGAAGAAUCUUUCUAACAACUUUAGCAUCUGGAAUUUUCUCUCCUAAGUUAGCGCAUGUAUUGACUACGUCUUGUAGACGCGUGUAGUACUCGGUAAAGGUCUCGUUUUCAUCCAUAGAAAUAGAAUCAAACUUGCUUGUUAGCAUUUGUAAUUUUUGGACCUUUACUAAGCUCGUUCCUUCAUGCGUAACUUGUAGAGUAUCCCAAAUUUUCUUUGCCGUUUCGCAUGCCGAAACACGAGUAAACUCCGUUUGCGAUAAAGCAUUGAAUAAAGCGUUAAUUCCUUUACCGUUAAACGAAGAUGCCUCGUUUUCAUCUUUCGUCCACUUGUUUCGUGGUUUAGGCGUUUCAACAUUCUCGACUUUUUCAAUAGGAUGUUUCCAUCCAAAUUCUAUUGAUUGCCAAACGCGCUCAUCGAUUGCAAUUAGAAAAGCUCUCAUGCGAACCUUCCAAUAGGCAUAAUUUGUGCCGUCGAAGAGCGGUGGUCGAUUAAUGUUUCCGCCUUCGGCCAUUAGAUAACAAUAUAUCUAGAUCCCGCUCUGAUACCAAUUGAAAGUUUUGGGGUGCCCAAGGAUCUAUCUAGAUUGUAUCUAAACACCUAGAGGGGGGUGAAUAGGUGUAAUAGCCAAAAACUACAAAUCUCAAUGCGAUAAAAAUAAUGCGAAAAAUAAAAAUCACACCGAGAUUUACGUGGAAAAACUCCAACUUGGAGAAAAACCCACGGGACCAACACGCGAAAAAAUAAUUCACUAAGAGAAAAGAUUACAAGGUGAUUACCGACUCCACGGACUCAACCUCUCUUAACCUCCUACGAAUCUCGCGCAAUCCUCCGGGUUGUCCACGCCCUCACGUUCUAAUCCACGAAUGCCUCGCACACGUCCGAAUCCACGAACGCCACUCGAAUCCACGAGCCCACGAUCCGAAUCCACGAACCGCCGUCAAUUACGCCGAAUCCACGACGCCAUCAUGAAGAACAUCAUGUAUAUGAUGAUCCUUCGCUUAGAGUAUUGAUGAAAAGCAGGGAAGAAAACUCCAAGCGAAGCGGAGAUCAAAUCGACAUAUAGAUAUGAAAUUUCAAUAUCUCGAUUUGACCUAAAAGAGGCUAGUAUGUAGAAAAUAGGUUUUAGAUGAAAUCCGAGCCUCUAGGGUUUCUCAAACAUGUAUUUUUGUGAUGCUUAAUAAGUUAGAGAAUCCCAACAGCUUAUUUAUAGACUUUAGAAUCAAUUGGAGUCGGAUUAGAAAGUUUUCACGAUUUUACACAGUGUAUCGGUACACGAAAGGCUGUCACCGGUUACACAAUGACGGAAGGAAAAAUUUGUGAAGCCAAAGUUGAUGGCUGUACCGGUACGGGGCAAUUGCUGUACCGGUACACGGUGCAAUUUUCACAUUUUGCACUGUUUCAGGUUCCGCAGAGUUCCGAAGCACUUUCUAAUCAGCUAAACAUUAAUAAUAAUGAUUCUAACGCCUAUAACUAAGUAUGAAUCACCAUAACAUGAAUUAACACAUUACCUUUAUGUCGUGAUCCACAUUGUGAGUUACUUUCCAAAAUCUUCGAAAUCUUGAAUUCUUCAAUCUUCGACGACACUCACCGAUUCUUCAAGACUCCGACUCGCUUCACGGAACUUGCUAACACACAAGACUUACUAGGAUCCGCGCAACUUGCGCCAAGGUGAUCGGACUGUAGCCGAGUACGAGCGGGAGUUUUCUCGGCUUCUUCACUGCGUGCCUUUCGUCGUACGGGACAACGAGGAUAAGGCCCGCAUCUUCGAGCGAGGAUUGCGACCGUCGAUCUUCCGGUUUGCGCAAUCCUCUAACCUCCAAACCUACCGGGAGGUGGUGGAUCGCACGCUCAUCGUGGAGAGCGACGCGGCAGACGUCCAGGAGCGGCGAGAGGCGAUGGACAAUGGUGAAAGUUUUGGGGUGCCCAAGGAUCUAUCUAGAUUGUAUCUCGCACCUAGAAGGGGGUGAAUAGGUGUAAUAGCCAAAAACCACAAAUCUCAAUGCGAUAAAAAUAAAUACGAAAAAUAAAAAACACAUCGAGACUUACGUGGGAAACUCCAACUUGGAGAAAAAUCCACGGGACCAACACACGAAAAAAUAAUUCACUAAGAGAAAAGAUUACAAGGUGAUUACCGACUCCACGGACGCAACCUCUCUUAACCUCCUAUGAAUCUCGCGCAAUCCUCCGGGUUGUCCACGCCCUCACGUUCGAAUCCACGAACGCCUCACACAUGUCCGAAUCGACGAACGCCACUCGAAUCCACGAGCCCACGAUCCGAAUCCUCGAACCGCCGUCAAUCACGCCGAAUCCACGACGCCAUCAUGAAGAACAUCAUGUAUAAGGUGAUCCUUCGCUUAGAGUAUCGAUGAAAACCAGAAAAAGAAACUCCAAGCAAAGCGGAGAUCAAAUCGACAUAUUAAUAUCAAAUUCCAAUAUCUCGAUUUGACCUAAAAGAGGCUUUAUGAAGAAAAUAGGUUUUAGAUGAAAUCCGAGCCUCUAGUGUUUCUCAAACAUGUAUUUUCGUGAUGCUUUUUUAUGUUAGAGAAGCCCAAUAGCUUAUUUAUAGACUUUAGAAUCAAACGGAGUCGGAUUAGAAAGUUUUUACGAUUUUACACAGUGUACCGGUACACGAAAAGCUGUCACCGGUUACACAAUAACGGAACGAAAAAUCGCAAAGCCAAAGUUGAUGGCUGUACCGGUACUGGGCACUUGCUGUACCGACACACAAUGCAAUUUUUACACUUUGCAUUGUUUCGGGUUUCACAACGUUCCGAGGCAUUUUCUAAUCCAUUAAACUUUGAGUUUAUGAUUCUAAUGCCUAUAAUUAAGCAUGAAUCACCAUAACAUGAAUUAAAACUUUACCUUUACGUCGUGAUUUACAUUGUGAGCUACUUUCCAAAAUCUUCGAAAUCUUGAAUUCUUCAAUCUUCGUCAAUCCGCAUCGAUCCUUCAAGACUCCGACUAACUUCACGAAUCCUUCAAGACUCCGACUCACUUCACGAAACUUGCCAAUACAAAAACCUUAACAAUCUCCCCCUUUGGCAAUUUCGUGACAAAACUCACAAAACUCAAAAAAUACAUAAAAGAUUCGAAGUUCAAUUGUCAUCACCAAAACAUUGAACUCCUCGCGUGUAAUCCAAAUACAAUUGAGAUUCAAAAUUACAUCAAAAACUCCUAAAACAGACGCUAUGACUUAGACGCAAUUAGGAGUCUUGAAGUUUUGAUUUCCUGCAAAAUAAUUUAUUAAAAAAUGAUUAAACUUAAAUUCUUAUACCUUCUUCCCCUUUGUUCACAUCUCGAUCACAUCUCCUCCUUUGUUCUUGAACUCAUCAUCCUCUUAAUGAACUCAAUGCCUGUUCAUCCAUGCUCUCCCCUGUUCUUGAACUCAUCAUCCUCUCAAUGAACUCAAUGUCUGUUCAUCCAUGCUCUCCCCUGUUCAUCUUCGCUCUCCCCCUUUUUGUCAAAAAUUGCCAAAAAAAAGCAAAUAGAGAGAAAAGACAUACUAGAAAGCAUAAGAGUAGUCAUCAUAGGUACAGGCCUAAAACAAAAGUAAAAGCAUGCAAAAGAAAGAUAAGCAAGAAAAACUAAACGAAAACAUCAUCCUAAACAGCAAAUACAGUGAAAGAGAAAGACUAAGCUUGACGAAGAAAUCACUCCGUGUCCUCGUCAUCAUCAUCGUCAUCAUCAGCUCCAGCGCCAGCUCCAGAACCUCCUACAUCCGAAGCUCCAGUAGAUGGAGAAAUAAGAGGAUGUCAUGAAGUAGACCUAGUAUAGACAGGCUGAGGAGGAAAAAUAUCGUCAUGUCUACAUCCCAACUUGUCCAUCAUCCUCUUCAUACCCACUUCCACCUUCCUGGCAAGAUCUGCCACUUUCUUUUUCAACGAUCGUACUUCAUGGCGAAGUGAUUCUCCCCCUGAACUGGAAGAUCCUUCACGCUCUGCACGUGGUGGAGGUGCCUGGCUAGGAGCUGCUCGUGAUGGUCCUUUUGUUUGCUGAAAGGUUUUUAGAGUGCUGACCGACUUGGCCCAGGUAACAACAUCGAUUAGACCAAGACCAAAAUCAUAUUUCUUGCAUGAAACAUCCACUUCAUUGUCCUGCAGAAUCCUCGUGAUCAAAAGAGGAAAUGGAAGUAGAUCCCGUCGGGCAGAAGCCUGAAUAACAUGAAUCAUCCGCUACCACAUCAGAAAAGGAAUGUUGAUGUUCAAUCCAUAAGCUUGCUCCGGGUGACCAAGUAGAAAUAGCAGAAGCAAACGAUCCCAACGAAUCCUCUUUGUUCCAAUCGUUGGUUGCACAUUGUAGCUCAAGACCAAGGACAGUAGAUGAUAUUCUAGUCGCAAAUCCUUGGACUCUACAUAAGCAUGAUUAGUCUGCACUCCAGCUUUGCAGAUAGCAGCUACAAUGGUAUCCCAGUGAGAUGAUGACUGAAAUCCUCCCGAUGUAUAAAGAAGACCCGUCGUGUCCACAGUCAUCCCCAAAAGCUCUCCAAUAGUAUAUGGGAUAACGACGACCCUCUGCUGACGGACGAAUGUCUCAAAAAGAAAAGUCCCGGUCUCCUCAUCUUCUGCAAGUACCUUCCCGUUCAUAUAGAACUCACGAAUGAGUUCCACACAAAAAGGAGCUCGAGCAGGAACCCUACCAACUCGUUCAAUAGGAACCCGCUGAAGUAGUCGCCUAAAGUCAGGAACGUCAUGUAUAAGAUCAUUGAAGUUGACAUAACGCUCUCCAAUACAAGAUUUGCUCAUGAACAUCUUUCGUCGCUCUGGGGGAACAUCCGCAGCAUGCUUCGACCGAGUUUCUCUUGCACGAGAACCACCGCCACGAGAGGAUUCGCCAGCUAUACCCUUACCCUUGUCAAGACGAGCAAUAGGUUCUUCAGCCUCUUCCGGGGAGCUUGCCUGAUAAUCCGGAUCAAACCCGGAUGCUUCUUCAGAUGUACGUGUCCUUUUAGAGGCCCCACGACGACCUCUACCACCACCUCGGCCACGACCACGACCGCCUACAGCGGCCAUUAGUACCAAAAUCAGCAACACAAGUGAAAACGUCAUUUUUCCUAUACAAAAAUUAAACUUGCAUGAACAAAAUUUUGAAAAAAAAAUCUGUAAAAAUAGCAAAAAAAUUUCUAAUAACAUUAGAAUAUAUACAAAUGCUAUUUCUAACCAGAUCAUAAAAAAAUUUUCAACAAAAAUGGCAUUUUAUCAAAAAUUCCGAACUUACAUGCAAAAUCAAGCUUAAAAUAUAGAUCAGUGAAAAAUAAUGUGUUUUGAUGUGAUUCAAGUGUUCUAGAAGCAAGAUAAUGUCCUUAAGCACUGAUCUACAGCAAAAAACUGCAUCAAAAACGAUCAAAAAUAGAGAUCUAGCUUCAACUCGGAAUAUUUUCGAAAAAUAAACAUGAACGCAAAGAAACGAUUAAAUCCAAGCUAAAUACUCACAAAUUUCUAAGGGAAAUCGUAUAGAUCUGCUAGAGGAAGGCACUAGGGAUUUUUAGAGAGAGAGAGAACGAAGUUUGGUUCGGAUUUGAGAGAGAAUAAAAGCUCUGUAACCGGUUAUAUAUCCGCGGCUACAGUAACCGUACUGGUACGGGAUUGUGUACCGGUACACGAUCUCAGAUUUCGAAAAUUUUGCUUUAAAAAUCCAACAAAUUAAAUUAAUCUCAUAUAAAUUAAGGAUUUUACUCCAUAAAUCAUUAUAAUGAGAAUAAGAUAUUAUAAGAUUUUAAAAUACAUCAAAACAUCAAAAUUUCAUUAUCAAAAAUAAUCUCAAGUUUCAAAAUCAUCAAGAUGUAACGGUUCACGAAAAAUGAUAUUUAGAAAUUUGGCAAAAUUGACACCAAUUUGUCGCAAUACGUUUAAAAUAGAGAUUUAACUAAUAUGAUACCGGGGGUGGCUCUUUGAGCAUCUUUUUCAAACUAACACCUUAUUACUCCGAAAAUUCUAAAAUAUUCAAUUUUUUAAAACCUUUUUCGGUUAAUCAAUUCAAUCUUCAUACGGUAGCUUCACACACUUGCUGGACGACCGGGGUGGUAGCUCUUUCCUACAUGUGGUGGUAGUUUUCACACUCCUUUUAGGUUGUAACUCUUUCCGCAUCUUUUAAACAUAGGAGUUUUUUUCUUUUUUUUAAAUAAUUUCAAACUUCCCCUAAAUUAGACAAUCUCACAAUUGAAAAUAUUUUGACAACUUUUAGUCUAUUAGCGAAUAUCCAUCUAUCAUAUUCAACACACACAACCGAGAUAGAUUAAUCACCAGAGAUCAAAUUUGAUUACAAAUUUUGAUGAAUAUACUGUAUAUUAAGAUCAAAUAUUAUUCUAAUUAUCGUCAAAAUAAUAAAAGUGAAGUAAAAACGAUAAUUAAUAUGAAUUUAACUUAAUAUGAUUGUGAAGUUAAACACCGUUUAAUGUGAUUUUGAAAAUUUCUCUCCUCAAAAUAAUGAUUUUUAAUCAUCUCCUUUCUCAUAAAAUUUUAUAAUCAUCUCCUUUCAGAAUGAUUUUUAAACAACCAAAAUAUCAACAUACCAAAAAAAAUUCAUUUAAACAUGUAAUGCAAUGAAUAAAAAUAUGCAAUAAGCACCUAUCAAAGCACUACACAAGAAAUAAAAAAUGACUAAGACGAGGAGCAAGGAAAGAUAUCACCUUUCCGGAUCAAACUUGUCGGACGUUGGUUUUCUCGACUUGUCGACGUUAGCGUGCGUUUUUUAGAUUUUUUAUCAACCGUUGGUGGUUUCGUCAGCUUGAGGCAUCGGUUGAACUUGUCGUUUAGGCUUAGAAAUCCGGUUUGCUUUGUGGUAGGUGGGAUCCCGAUCUCUUGAGGUACUCGACUCACUUGAUUUUGCUUUGCAUUCGUGGGGCGAAGUCGAGUUGCUAGAUGAUGGCAUUGACUUGGCGAAGUGCAUUGCAUUCUUCUUUGUCUUGAUCCGGGCAACUCUUAUUGAUGUGUCCUUUGAUGCCCACAUUAUGCACACCUUCUCUUUCAAAGUUGUUGAGACUUUAGAGCGUUUGAUUUGAAUCCUUCUCAUCAUAUGUUCUUUCAUAUCGAGGGCCCAACUUAUUCAUUUGACC